This 81-nucleotide transfer RNA is filed under the name Nematostella vectensis (starlet sea anemone). It matches the Rfam family "tRNA". From Rfam's summary of the family: Transfer RNA (tRNA) molecules are approximately 80 nucleotides in length. Their secondary structure includes four short double-helical elements and three loops (D, anti-codon, and T loops). The record is from Rfam by way of RNAcentral. Lineage: Eukaryota; Metazoa; Cnidaria; Anthozoa; Actiniaria; Edwardsiidae.
GCCUCAUUAGCGCAGUAGGCGGCGCGUUCAUCAUCGAAUGUAGAAAUCUGAAGGUCGUGAGUUCGAUCCUCACACAGGGCA